Molecule: unclassified non-coding RNA, 213 nt
Filed under: uncultured Trechispora
Lineage: Eukaryota; Fungi; Basidiomycota; Agaricomycetes; Polyporales; Polyporaceae
Description: sequence contains ITS2
Source: RNAcentral
AGUCAUCAACCCCUCCCGUUUUGUGCGGAGAGGACGGUUGGAUCUGGGGGCCUGCUGCCGUCAAGGUGGCUCCCCUCAAAUGCGUCGGUUGGGCCUGUGGGUCGAACUCGGUUGGGCGUUGUACAAUCCUCGCUCUGGUCUGAGAUGUUCCCCUUCUGUUGAGCCCUCCCACAGACCGCCCCUUCUGGAGUGGCGGUCAAGCUGAACUUUGAA